AUAGUAUAGCUACUUGGUCAUUUAGAGGAAGUAAAAGUCGUAACAAGGUUUCCGUAGGUGAACCUGCGGAAGGAUCAUUAUCGAAGCAAAGCUUCACACCGUGAAAAACUAACCCCUUGGGGUAUACAAACUCUAGUGUUGUAAUGAAUGUACAGUUAGUCAUAACAAACAUAACUUUUUAGCAACGGAUCUCUUGGCUCUCGCAUCGAUGAAGAACGCAGCGAAAUGCGAUAAGUAAUGUGAAUUGCAGAAUUGUGAAUCAUCGAAUCUUUGAACGCACCUUGCGCCCCUGUGGGCAUGCCAGUUUGAGAGCCACCCUAACCUCGAGCUUGCUCGGAUUUGAGCGCUGUCGUAGACUCGCUCUGAAUGCAUUCGCGGCUGAAGGCUGCAGCGACGUAAUAAGUAUUCCGCCGUUGUAAGUUGUAAGCUGCUUCAAAUCGUCGCAAGACACUACAUGUACGCUAGGCAUCAAAGUGGUAGGACUACCCGCUGAACUUAAGCAUAUCAAUAA
RNAcentral lists this ribosomal RNA (511 nucleotides) under uncultured fungus. Its description in RNAcentral is "eukaryotic LSU rRNA". The stretch from base 174 to 315 matches the Rfam family "5.8S ribosomal RNA". The record is from RNAcentral. Lineage: Eukaryota; Fungi.